Molecule: RNA transcript, 1600 nt
Organism: Gossypium arboreum
Lineage: Eukaryota; Viridiplantae; Streptophyta; Magnoliopsida; Malvales; Malvaceae
Exons: 2
Source: RefSeq, a predicted model, not a curated record
AUCCCUCUCUCUUCUUUCUUUUUCCCGCCGCCCUCUUCUUCUUCUUCUUCUUCCAUGGCUGCCUCCACCCUAAGCGUGACUGGUGCUCUCAGGAGGACAUGAUGGGGUGGGGGGAGGAGCCGUCAAAUGAUUUUUCAGAAAGAAGUGGCUAUAAGAUCUUAAUUCAAAGUGUUGUGGCUGCUGAUAGGAGUGAUACUUAUAAAACUUUUUAUAAAAAAACUCUGGUAGAUCAAUUUACCAGAGAAAAUAAAAAUUACAACAUAGAUAAUUUUUAAAAAUUACAUCCCUAGCUAUUACAAUUUGUACAAUAGGAGGAUAUGAAGUUCAGCAAUGUGCCCAAAAUGUACAAGAGAUGUCGAAACUUCUGAGCAUAUCUUUAGCGACUAUCCGUCUGUAGCAGAAAUAUGGAGAAAGAUGUUGAAUGGCCUGAUAAUAUUGCAAAUAGUUCUUUACAGGAUUGGCUUAAUUAUAUUGUUUCCUCUUUCUCUACUACUACAUGCAGAGCAGUGAUUUGUACUCUAUGGUAUAUUUGGUCAACAAGAAACAGGCUAAUACAUGACAGAAGGAUCAUAUUAUCUCAAGACAUAAUUCAUAUAGUCGAGGCUUAUAUUAGAGAGGUUAAUGGGGUACAAAGGAAAUUACCUGUUAAAAGGGUGAAGAGUGAACGAUGGAGGCUUCUAGAGGCUUCUUUCCUUAAAGUAAAUUUUGAUGCAGCGUUUAAAGGAAAUGACAGGAGAUCUUGCACGGAGAUUGUAACCAGAAACUAGGAGGAUCAAGUGGUGGGUUCAAAGACAAUAGUGAAUCGUCAUAUACCUACGAGUUUUGUAGUAGAGGCCCUUGAAUAUCUCCAGGCAGUGGUUUGGGGGAUAUAUUUAGGGAUUCGAGAAGUGCUGGUGGAAGGGGACGCCUUGUCGAUGACAAAAAGGAUGUGGUCCUGCAAUGAAAAUGGUUCGGUUAUAGGGGCUUAUAUACAAGAUGCAAAAAAAAAAAAAAAAAAGCAGAAGGUUUCACAAGAUGCUCAUUUAGACAUGUUCAUAAAGACGCGAAUAGAGUUGCACAUAUACUAGCCAGAGAGGGGGAGUACUUAUCUGGAGGGGUGUGUGUCGGAUUUUGCGAGAGAUGCGGUGGACAACGAUCGGUGCGAGCAAUAGUUGGGGGAAGUUGAAAGAAAUGGUGGAAAUGCUUCUCUGAUAGUAUCGCAAGGAAUUUGAAGGGGGCUCUGACGAGAGGAGGAUAUUGAAGGCCGUGGGGUGAGGGUAUGAAGGCUGGUGGCUUUUACUGGCCGUGGUGAUAGGUUGCUGGAUUUCCUUGAAGAUCGAUGAUCUUAGGGGGGCUCGAUUUGAGAUCAGGGAGGAGGUGACGGUAUGAUUUUUUGCUUAGAAUUAGAGGUUGCUGUUUGGUUUUCCAUGGAAAGGGAGAGUGGGUAUGGCUUUGGAAACGAUAGAUUUCUCGAAUGCUUUGCUAAGUGGAAAAGUUUGGUUAUUAUUUAUUUAAUUUGUUUAGUUCAGAUUUUUCUAUUGGGUUUUGAUUUCUUUUGAUUAUAUAUUUUUGUUUAGUCUAGUUUAUUAUUAUUAAUAAAAUAACUCAGAUUCCUUAAAAA